Molecule: long non-coding RNA, 1153 nt
Organism: Ictalurus punctatus (channel catfish)
Lineage: Eukaryota; Metazoa; Chordata; Actinopteri; Siluriformes; Ictaluridae
Source: Ensembl
CUGCGACAUUUUCAAUCAAAUGACAUCUUAUGCCACUAGGACUGGGAUUUCCGUUUAUCCUUCAUUCAUUCGCAGUGGAUGCGGAGUCUAUCCCGGGAACGCUGGGCAUGAGGCGGGAAUACACCGUGGACGGGUUGCCAGUCCAUCACACACACACACACACACGCACACACUCAUUCACACUUAGGAGCGGUUUAGCGUCUUCUGUCGUUCUUCAGAAGUGGGAGGAAACCGGAGAACCCAGAGGGAACCCGUGUAAACACGGGGAGGAUGUACGAGCGCUGCGACUUCAGAACGUCCCACAUGACACCCCUGCAACGGAAGCCAUGUUUGUGAAGGCAACAUCUGCGUUCGCUCGCUGAUGAACAGACUAAAGGAUGGACGGAGAUUCUCUCUGAGUUUUACAACAGCAUCUUUUUUUCUGUGGAGAUGAAAGUGUGUAACAGAAAGCUUUGUCUGACAGGAAGAAAAGAAAAAAAAAACCCAAAACAAAACAAGACAAACACCUGAAAGCUGUUUCUUCGUUGGCUCUCGUCCAUACGACACUGCCAAGAAACACUCAAACACAGACCUUAAGAAAGAUGGAGGAUAAUAAACAGAUCCCCGGCAUGAUGGAACCCAGGUGGAGCUUUUUCCUCAGUCCUCAGCCCCGUCCCGGCUCCUGCUGAUGGUUAGCGCUGUCGGAUUCUGGAUUCUGAUUGGUCUGAAGUUACUAUAACAGCAGCACCGACAGUACUACAGCCGUUGUUCUUAUACCUUAUCGUUUCCAUAGCAACAGCUCAUCCUCAGGGACUAGUACAGCAGACGCCCCACGGGAUCGAACCCUGAUGAUAAAAAAUGGAUUUGAUCACGAUGUAUAUUUAGCAUUUUUGGAAGGAGUCUCCAGUGUCAGCGCUUUGUAAAGUUGAGGAGUGAAGCUGAUACUUUAGGUUUUCCGUCUUCAGGACGCUUUGCGGUUUCUAAGUAACCUGACAAGCUGUGUUUUUUUUUUGUUUGUUUUGUUUUUUUUUUGUGUGUGUGUUUUAAACUUCAAGAGAACAUAAAAUGUAACUACAAAUGGAUAAAAAAAAAACACGGCAUGGCAUUUAGUAAUAAAUUACAAGUUGUAAUUGUUGGUAAACUUCAGUGGUAUUAGAAGAAUAAAAUUUCAGGA